GGACCGUGUAUGGUGGGUAGUUUGACUGGGGCGGUCUCCUCCCAAAGAGUAACGGAGGAGCUCGAAGGUACGCUCAGCGCGGUCGGACAUCGCGCACUGUGUGCAAAGGCAUAAGCGUGCUUGACUGCAAGAUCGACGGAUCAAGCAGGUACGAAAGUAGGACUUAGUGAUCCGGUGGUUCUGUAUGGAAGGGCCAUCGCUCAACGGAUAAAAGGUACUCCGGGGAUAACAGGCUGAUACUGCCCAAGAGUCCAUAUCGACGG
RNAcentral lists this ribosomal RNA (263 nucleotides) under Anophryoides haemophila. RNAcentral describes it as "partial Bacterial large subunit ribosomal RNA". It matches the Rfam family "Bacterial large subunit ribosomal RNA", at positions 2249 to 2511 of the family's 2925-position model. Lineage: Eukaryota; Ciliophora; Oligohymenophorea; Philasterida; Glauconematidae. The record is from RNAcentral.